CUGGGGAGAGACGGCGUGGGAGUCCAGCUGAAAGCUGACGUGUGGAGCUGUGGGCUCGGAGCGGGAAACCACUAUCUGCAUGAAGCGGCCCUCUGAAGUUCCCAGGUUGGCAAUGGUAAGGUUCCCUUUGGUGAAGACAGAUAUCGAAGUUAACAGGAUGUUGUUGAACUGGCCCAUGAACAAGUCAACCCUCUGCAAGGGAGUCGUAACUUCUAAG
Molecule: long non-coding RNA, 217 nt
Filed under: Gallus gallus (chicken)
Lineage: Eukaryota; Metazoa; Chordata; Aves; Galliformes; Phasianidae
Source: RNAcentral